GGACCCGCACAAGCAGCGGAGCAUGUGGUUUAAUUCGAAGCAACGCGAAGAACCUUACCAGGACUUGACAUAUACGUGAAUACGUUAGAGAUAGCGUAGUCUUUUCGGAGACACGUAUACAGGUGGUGCAUGGUUGUCGUCAGCUCGUGUCGUGAGAUGUUGGGUUAAGUCCCGCAACGAGCGCAACCCUUAUCAAUAGUUGCCAGCGGGUAAUGCCGGGAACUCUAGAGAGACUGCCGAUGAUAAAUCGGAGGAAGGUGGGGAUGACGUCAAAUCAUCAUGCCCUAUAUGUCCUGGGCUACACACGUGCUACAAUGGUCGGUACAGAGGGGAGCAAGAGAGUGAUCUGGAGCAAAUCUCAAAAAGCCGAUCCCAGUUCGGAUUGUAGGCUGCAACUCGCCUACAUGAAGUUGGAGUUGCUAGUAAUCGCGAAUCAGAAUGUCGCGGUGAAUGCGUUCCCGGGUCUU
This 467-nucleotide ribosomal RNA is filed under the name uncultured bacterium. Its description in RNAcentral is "bacterial SSU rRNA". It matches the Rfam family "Bacterial small subunit ribosomal RNA", at positions 917 to 1382 of the family's 1533-position model. The record is from RNAcentral.